This 26-nucleotide non-coding RNA is filed under the name Mus musculus (house mouse). Lineage: Eukaryota; Metazoa; Chordata; Mammalia; Rodentia; Muridae. The record is from RNAcentral.
UGGUACACAUCCCUGCUUCAGCUCAU